UACAGAGGUCUCAAGCGUUGUUCGGAUUCAUUGGGCGUAAAGGGUGCGUAGGCGGCGGGGCAAGUCAGGUGGGAAAUCCCGGAGCUCAACUCCGGAACUGCACUUGAUACUGCCUUGCUAGAGUACUGGAGAGGAGACUGGAAUUUACGGUGUAGCAGUGAAAUGCGUAGAUAUCGUAAGGAAGACCAGUGGCGAAGGCGAGUCUCUGGACAGUUACUGACGCUGAGGCACGAAGGCCAGGGGAGCAAACGGG
RNAcentral lists this ribosomal RNA (253 nucleotides) under uncultured bacterium. RNAcentral's name for it is "partial 16S ribosomal RNA". It matches the Rfam family "Bacterial small subunit ribosomal RNA", at positions 524 to 776 of the family's 1533-position model. The record is from RNAcentral.